Molecule: long non-coding RNA, 679 nt
Filed under: Solanum tuberosum (potato)
Lineage: Eukaryota; Viridiplantae; Streptophyta; Magnoliopsida; Solanales; Solanaceae
Description: long non-coding RNA (STUB_LNC000149)
Source: RNAcentral
UACAAUCUGGAGAUUAUCAGGUUUCGAAAGAAGGUGGUUCUCAAUCUUGUCUGACGUUUGUGGUGAAUUCCUAAGUGGUAUGAUUUUCACCAGCUUUGCACUUAAGAGUGUUCCAUUCUUUCUCUGCUAGCAGCUGCUGGGUCUUACAGAACCAUAGAUUCUUCUUUUCAUGGAGCGGCGUGGUCUGUCAAUUUUGUGAGGUUUUUUGGUCAAUGCUUCUAAUGAUUAUUGAUAUCAUCAAUUCAGUUUUCUUCCCUAAUCAGUAUGGUUUCAUUCUUCCUUAUCAACACUGCUUCAUUUGUGUGUAUUUUGUUGCCAUACAUGUUUUUUAAUAGUCCAGAUGUUUAUGUUCUUUGGUGAUCCAACUGUUGAGAUCUCCAUGGUUAUGGACAACACAUGAUAAGUGUAUUCAAGCUCAGUCGUGGAUCUUUUGAUGGGUCUUUUAAUGGUCCUGUAACACUGUUCUCUAGUUUUCGUGUUCUCGCUACUUACAUUCUCUGAUUUCAUUUUGCCUACCUGUUUAUUUAGUUUGGUUGGAUGAAUUUUUUUAGGCAACAUGGGUAGUAAGAGGAUAAGAUUUGGAAAUUUUGUAGUUUGGUUUCAGUGUGCAUCCCUGUGGACCAUGUUGGCCAUUUUGGUGCUUACACUGCAAUUUGGAUAUUGGAUUGACCAUUCCUCC